Long non-coding RNA from Pygocentrus nattereri (red-bellied piranha), 878 nucleotides. NCBI's taxonomy places the organism in Eukaryota, Metazoa, Chordata, Actinopteri, Characiformes, Serrasalmidae. The record is from Ensembl.
GUGUCCUAAUUGUGCGCUGGACACUCCGAGUUCACUCCCUCCGCUCGCGCGCCGACAGCGCCGCGACAGCGUGCGCUUCAAGGAGGAAGAGGAAUAGGAGGUGGAGGAGGAGGAGGCGACGGCGGCAGAGGAGGAGGAGGCGCAGGUGGAGGAGGAGGAGGAGGAGGAGGAGGAGGAGGAGGAGGAGGAGGAGGCGAGGUCCUCGGGCGUGAAUCGGGACAGGGCCGGAGAGGCGCGCGCCGAUUGGCGGAAGAGCAGAACGGGCGCGUGUGCAUUUUGAAUCUCGGCGCGAGGAGAUUUGGACACGCAGUGCGGCUGUUUUUGAGCGGACGGAGUGAAGAUGGAGCCCGCGGAGAUGGAGAUGGAGAUGGAGGCGGCGGCGGAGAGACUGCAGCGGUCCCUCAACAUCGAUGGUGACGAGAAAGCACGCAGGUCCCUCAACAUCGAUGGUGACGAGAAAGCACGCAGGUAUCACACGCGCACGCACACCUCCUCACAGGGAGAAAAUCAGAGGGAAGAUCUGAAGAUGAUUCUUUAAAAUUCCACCCGGAGUGCUUUACCUGUGAGCUGUGGUGAAGGUUGUUUGAAUGAAUUGCUGUGCUGGGGUAAAAAGGCAAAAAUACGCAGCCUCAGAUCAGAGAGAGUUGGACGCCGUGUCAAUUAAAACUGAAAGUGUUGAUUUGUAAACGAAUUCUCACCUGUGUUACUGAGACCAUGUUGACAUGCAAAGGUUGUAGCCAGCCUGAAUGAAUUGAAUCCGAUUAUAGAUUAAGAUUGAGUGGUUUAUAUGCUCUCUCCACAGCCUGCUGGAAAUCUAGCCUUAGUCUAAUCUAAAUCUCACCUACAAUGAAGCACAUGUGUAAAGUACCACUUAAUCC